UGUUUGUAUUUAUGGUCUUUAUUUUUCAUAUCGGUAAUUACCUUUUAUGGCCCCGGCUUAAAGGCAGCCCAGCCGGCUCCAGGGCCUCCCCGUGAUCCCAAAGCCAAGUGCAGGCCUCCCCACCUUCCGCCGUUUUUCCCUCUUUUACACAAGAUUCUUCGGUGUUGCAAAAGAGCUUUGGGAGAUUUGGGUUUUGUGGUUAAGAUUCUCACACUGGCGCACGAGGACAAUUAUGUGGCAGCUUUCAUUUGGCCCCUAGGAUUCUUACUACAUUAUCCGUACUUCCUUUAAUUUGUGGGAUUUCUAGUAAAUGGGCUUAAAAAUAGGUCUGGGCAUGCCGCCAGGGCAGAUGCGGGCAGCCGGCAUCUCUGCAUCCCUGUCUCAUGGCAGAGUGGGGUCACCCUGUGUCCCUCGGCCCUGUGCCUCCUGCAGGUCCCCCGAGGCGGCUCCCCGUGCGCCCUGAGGAGGGGACAGGGUGCGGCCCCUCUCUGCUGGUCAGGACAUCGGGGUGGGUCUUGGCUGCAAUUGAGUUAGGGUGGAGGGGUUGGGGUCCUUUUGACGGCGAGGUAGGGACUCUGACGGAGGCCAGGCCGACUAGAGGGCUGGGGAAGCCGGGUGACAUGCUCAUGGGCCACACGGAUACACACACAGGCCCAACAGUCCCCAUGUAGCCAGCAGCCCUGCCCAAGGCAGGCUGUCCCGUCCUUGUCAUGGUGGAGAGGACCAAGGCCAGCCGUAUGCAGGGUGUCCCCGUGGCCGGCUGGAAGUCCCGGCCCUGCGGCCUGCUCAGGUUCCUUGCUGGGCCUGCUGACCUGGA
RNAcentral lists this long non-coding RNA (817 nucleotides) under Homo sapiens (human). RNAcentral describes it as "non-protein coding lnc-TMEM250-3:2". Lineage: Eukaryota; Metazoa; Chordata; Mammalia; Primates; Hominidae. The record is from RNAcentral.